CGGAAUUCGGUCCUUGCUGCACCCUUGUCUUUUGCGUACCGUAUGUUUCCUCGGCGGGCUUGCCUGCCGGUUGGACAAUAUCAAACCUUUUUGUAGUUGCAAUCAGCGUCAGAAAACAAAUAAUAAUUACAACUUUCAACAACGGAUCUCUUGGUUCUGGCAUCGAUGAAGAACGCAGCGAAAUGCGAAAAGUAGUGUGAAUUGCAGAAUUCAGUGAAUCAUCGAAUCUUUGAACGCACAUUGCGCCCCUUGGUAUUCCAUGGGGCAUGCCUGUUCGAGCGUCAUUUUGUACCCUCAAGCACUGCUUGGUGUUGGGCGUUUGUCCUGCAAAGGACUCGCCUGAAAGCGAUUGGCGGCCAACGUACUGGUGGUAGAGCGCAGCACAAUUUGCGUCUCUCCCUUCUACGUCGGCGUCCAUGAAGCCUUAUUCAAACGUUUGACCUCGGAUCAGGUAGGGAUACCCGCUGAACUUAAGCAUAUCAAUAAGCGGAGGA
RNAcentral lists this ribosomal RNA (494 nucleotides) under Phoma sp. STAF237. RNAcentral describes it as "eukaryotic LSU rRNA". The stretch from base 131 to 284 matches the Rfam family "5.8S ribosomal RNA". The record is from RNAcentral. Lineage: Eukaryota; Fungi; Ascomycota; Dothideomycetes; Pleosporales; Didymellaceae.